This 59-nucleotide transfer RNA is filed under the name Hyalomma anatolicum. Its description in RNAcentral is "tRNA-Phe". RNAcentral also lists the same sequence under 1 other name. The record is from RNAcentral. Lineage: Eukaryota; Metazoa; Arthropoda; Arachnida; Ixodida; Ixodidae.
GUUUUCAUAGUUUAAAUUAAAACAUUACACUGAAAAUGUAAAAAUACUUUUUGAAAAUA